GCGAAAGUGGCGGAACUGGUAGACGCGCUAUCUUGAGGGGGUAGUGAGGUUUCCUCGUGGGGGUUCGAGUCCCCCUUUUCGCA
RNAcentral lists this transfer RNA (83 nucleotides) under Simkania negevensis. Its description in RNAcentral is "tRNA-Leu". It matches the Rfam family "tRNA". From Rfam's summary of the family: Transfer RNA (tRNA) molecules are approximately 80 nucleotides in length. Their secondary structure includes four short double-helical elements and three loops (D, anti-codon, and T loops). The record is from RNAcentral. Lineage: Bacteria; Pseudomonadati; Chlamydiota; Chlamydiia; Parachlamydiales; Simkaniaceae.